Hemicordylus capensis (graceful crag lizard) is the source of this 913-nucleotide long non-coding RNA. RefSeq lists it as uncharacterized. The transcript has 4 exons. Lineage: Eukaryota; Metazoa; Chordata; Lepidosauria; Squamata; Cordylidae. The record is from RefSeq and is a predicted model, not a curated record.
GAGGAAUCGACCCUGCUGUAGCUCAGACUAGCUGACUGGAAGAAAAGGGGUCUCAAAGGAACAGCAGAAGAAGAAGAAGAAGAAGAAGAAGAAGAAGAAGAAGAAGAAGCAUCCAUACAUCAUCCUGGAGAAUAGGAUCAUCCCUGGAUGCCAUAGUCCACCAGCUCUCAUCCAUGGGAAAUAACCCUGUAAUACUGUGAGCAAAUUCUUUAUUACUUUACUUUUUCCUUUAAUUGUGAAUUACUCUUAGAGAGAGCUGAGGAGCUUGCUUUCUUGUAGUGUUUUUUUGUAACUAUCAUCUUCGUUUGUAGCUGUAAUUAGAACCAGAACCUGUGAGAUGUUCUUUAACUUCAUCGCUCACUAAUUGCAAAGAAUAUUUUUAGCGUUCACUAUUGAUUGUAUGUGUAUUGAAAUGGCUAAUGAAGGAAAGGACACUUUUUGUGGUCUUUUUAAAGCUUUCAACUUACUUAUGGUGUGCAGAUGCCUCUGGUAAAAAGCCUUUGCAGUGCAUCUAUGGGGAAAAAACCAAACAUGUAUGUCUCACUGUUGUGUAAGUUAAAUGGUUAGAGAUCCCUGGAGACUCAUUAAACCUAUAAAUCCUCCAACUCAAAUAUACUGACAUGCUAAUAAUAAGUAAAAAAGACUUAAAAAAAAAAAGACUAGGGCAUAUUUUCAAUUUGAUUUUAGAGUUUCAAGGUUCCUGCUGUAGUAAACGCAAAUGUGUUUUUCCUGAGCAUUACCAAAUGACAUUUUCUUUCUCUUUUUAUUGCUUUAAAUGUUGCCAUUGUAUAUAUUGACUCACUCUUAGUAAGCAUUCCCAAGCACUGAUAAAGAUAUGCACAAAUUUUCGUAAAACUGGAAAUGGCCCCCUUUUUAGUGCAAUUGUCUCUUCAUAAAGCAAAAUAGAGUUUUA